Molecule: long non-coding RNA, 1216 nt
Organism: Betta splendens (Siamese fighting fish)
Lineage: Eukaryota; Metazoa; Chordata; Actinopteri; Anabantiformes; Osphronemidae
Exons: 5
Source: RefSeq, a predicted model, not a curated record
AGCCCCCACUCUGGGGAGGGAAACCCAACCUGAGAGCCAGAGUGACAGUGGCAGGUUAAGCCCCCUGUUGGAGGGGAAAGCACCUCGUCUCAAACGCAGGAAGCAGCCUCGGGUUCACCCACGUUACAGCGACCAGUGGGACGACACAAGCUCAAGUGACUCUGAUAGUGCUUAUCCUUCCCAAAACUUAAUUUUGCGCCUACGCCAGCUUGAAUCCCUAGCCAAGGACAUUGAGUGCUUUGAUAGCCAUGAUUCCACCACAGACCAAGCCUGCGUCAAGCACAUCCACAUACCAAAAGGGGGAAGCAGUCCCAGCUCCCAAAGGCGAGGGUAGACUAGUUCAAGCCACAACAUGAUAUGUAUAAAGAGAACUAGUCCGCAUCCAUUGUAGGUCCCAAAAUCUUAUCAGUAACCUGGUAGAAAUAGCUGGAUCUCUGGAUGGGGAGUACUCCACAUACUCACGUCAGUACUCCCCGCGGCGAUGGAGGAGGAACUUAGACGUCAGCCAUACUGAUUGGACCAAACAAUAGGACGGGCGUGACCAAAAACACUGUUAUAAAAAGCCGCCGUGACCGAAGACUCGUCCCUUGUUCUCUUCGACCCUCUCCCUUCUCUUCUUGCCUUCGAGAUCACUGCAGACCUUUCUUCUCUCCGUCCACCUAGAGCUUCUCUCUGCACCGGCACGCCUGGAGCCUCCACCGCAGCCAGCAGCUGAACUAACAGAAACGUCGUCACAGAGAACGGGCCUGAUCACCCAUCUACUUCCAGCCACCUGGUUAGGAAACCGCCAGCUUAACCGCCUCACCCGCCGCCGCAUCAGCUGAUCACGACGCGAUCACCACUACGCAUACCAGGAUUAAGCACUCCUGCAUCUCACGCCGCCCGCGGGGCUGUCUGCCAGAGAGCGCUAGACUCCAUCGCCUUGCGCUACAGCGUCGCCAGAGCCGGCAAUUCCAACUGCAGUAUAGGCACCAGGCGGCUCAACAAGCAUUCAACGCCUUCCCGACCGGAGAGGCCCUUAGAUUCGUCGACGCUGAGAUCCAUCAGCCGCCACGGACCGAUCACAGUCUCGACGUAUCAGACGACGCGCUUCUGGAGGUGUCACCAGACCCCGGAGAGAUAUUUACUGCCGGCGAGUGCGUCGUCAAUGCGCCGCCACCCACCCCGGAGCCGCCGCAGCAGCCACAACAACAACAACAACAACAACAGCGAGAAC